UACGUAGGGUGCGAGCGUUAAUCGGAAUUACUGGGCGUAAAGCGUGCGCAGGCGGUUUUGCAAGCCGGAUGUGAAAUCCCCGGGCUCAACCUGGGAAUGGCAUUCGGGACUGCAAGGCUGGAGUGCGGCAGAGGAGACUGGAAUUCCUGGUGUAGCAGUGAAAUGCGUAGAUAUCAGGAGGAAUACCGAUGGCGAAGGCAGGUCUCUGGGCUGACACUGACGCUCAUGCACGAAAGCGUGGGGAGCAAACAGG
This 253-nucleotide ribosomal RNA is filed under the name uncultured bacterium. RNAcentral's name for it is "partial 16S ribosomal RNA". It matches the Rfam family "Bacterial small subunit ribosomal RNA", at positions 524 to 776 of the family's 1533-position model. The record is from RNAcentral.